UGGUGAAAAGAGAAACCUCAAACACAAAGA
Molecule: non-coding RNA, 30 nt
Filed under: Mus musculus (house mouse)
Lineage: Eukaryota; Metazoa; Chordata; Mammalia; Rodentia; Muridae
Source: RNAcentral